AGAUAACUCAUUUUGCUAUUUAAAUCCGUGACUACGAAAAAACAAAUUAUCGUUAGAUCAUUGCUGAGAUAGAUUUUACUAAGAAGGAUAAAAUAAUGUGUUCUGCAGUUCGCAAAUGGUCUAAAUGAAUCAGUUGAUGCUAUCCACUGCAUCAGCUGAAACAAUACGAUUACCAACACUGCUAAAUAUGCUUAUUACCAUAUAUAACUUUUAGCGCUUUGGUAAAGACCAAGUACAUAGUCAGUCACACCACCUUCAGCCGGCACAAUGUGGGCAUUUCCACUGGUUAUGCUACUUUUCGGGAUGAAGGUGUCCAGUAAUUUGUUUUGUAUCUCAGUGACAGCAGCAUCAUUUUCAUCACACUGCAGUAAUCCACGUGUCUCAUGGUAGAAAACGUUGACAUGCAACACAACAUUGGCGUGAACAUCCCAUGUUUUCAUAGUUGACGUUGCCUUGACUUGGUGUGUGUGGUGCAUCAACACCAGAAUGACCGGUUUAUCAUCUGAGCACAACAAGAGAGAGACGUUAGCAAAAGAUCAUCCUUUACCAACACAUCAAUA
Molecule: long non-coding RNA, 560 nt
Organism: Gasterosteus aculeatus aculeatus (three-spined stickleback)
Lineage: Eukaryota; Metazoa; Chordata; Actinopteri; Perciformes; Gasterosteidae
Source: Ensembl